Molecule: non-coding RNA, 27 nt
Filed under: Mus musculus (house mouse)
Lineage: Eukaryota; Metazoa; Chordata; Mammalia; Rodentia; Muridae
Source: RNAcentral
UGCCAUGGAAAGAUGAUCAGCAGAAAG